This 21-nucleotide non-coding RNA is filed under the name Caenorhabditis elegans. Lineage: Eukaryota; Metazoa; Nematoda; Chromadorea; Rhabditida; Rhabditidae. The record is from RNAcentral.
UAGUUAAUAUUUUCAGACCAC